AUUGAACGCUGGCGGCAUGCCUUACACAUGCAAGUCGAACGUGAAAGCGGGGCAACCCGCAAGUAGAGUGGCGGACGGGUGAGUAAUACAUCGGAACGUGUCCAGUAAUGGGGGAUAACCUAAGCGAAAGUUAGGCUAAUACCGCAUACGAUCUGCGGAUGAAAGCGGGGGAUGCGGCACUAAAAGCUUUUGGUGAAGGUCGCCAAAGGCAGGUCAAGAGC
This 221-nucleotide ribosomal RNA is filed under the name uncultured bacterium. RNAcentral describes it as "partial 16S ribosomal RNA". It matches the Rfam family "Bacterial small subunit ribosomal RNA", at positions 30 to 264 of the family's 1533-position model. The record is from RNAcentral.